RNAcentral lists this long non-coding RNA (585 nucleotides) under Pan troglodytes (chimpanzee). RNAcentral's name for it is "long non-coding RNA NONPTRT002194". The record is from RNAcentral. Lineage: Eukaryota; Metazoa; Chordata; Mammalia; Primates; Hominidae.
ACUGAAUGGGAAACUCUAUAAAAAAAGAAAAAUCAAAUGUUAUAUUUAUAUGCCACAGAAACUAGCACAGUGCCUGGCAGAUCACUGACAUUCAAUAAUAUUUCGAACUAAACCAAAAUGCCCUGCUCACAAAUAAUAAUUUUCCCCAAUAUAAAUCAAAGAUCAAAAACUAUCUAUUUGCUUUUAGAGUGCUUUUGCUUUUAGUUGUAACUGGUGUUCAUCCAUACAUAGAAAACCAUUGCAUUGGAGUAUCGUAUGCUGAUUUGCUGGUUUUUUCUCUAUGCAUAAUAAAGUGAUCAGUAAGCAGAGCAAACUUCAGUAGCCACAUGCUCUAACCCAGUGGUUCCCAAACUUUCUAUAAAAAUUCUAUGUCAGCAUUACCCAGGAAGUUUUUAAAUACAAAUUUCAACUAAUUUCAGUCCCAGAAUUUCUUAAAUUAUAACAAGAGGUGUGAUAAUUAUUUAUUGGGAAAAAUAUUGUAAUAUUAAUUGUUGCUAGUUAUUAAGGGCAGUUGCAAUUAUCUGAGAAAAUAGGCUUAGAGACUUGCCCAAGGUCUCACAGGUAAGUCUAAGAUAAAGUCGGGAU